Molecule: long non-coding RNA, 405 nt
Filed under: Eutrema salsugineum
Lineage: Eukaryota; Viridiplantae; Streptophyta; Magnoliopsida; Brassicales; Brassicaceae
Description: long non-coding RNA (ESAL_LNC000032)
Source: RNAcentral
CAUCUAAUGAAUUUUGGGUAGAUUAACAAGGGAAGUAGCAGAUGCACUUGUGAGCAGGGAAGACAUAGUUGCAAGAUCCAUGUCGUGCUCCCUCAAGUCGCUGGCACUGACUCUUGCACGCAUUAUUGUUUCCACAAACACCAGACCAUGUCCCACUUGGCCUCUCGCACAACUUCGCUUCCACCAUUGUUGGUGCUUCUGCAUAUAGAUAUAUCUCACGGUUAAUUAACAUAAAAAUAAUCUGAGAAAAAGGAAACUUUAAAACUCAUUCUGCUAUGCAUAUAUGAUAAGAUCAUUACUCACCAAAAGUGGCAAAGAGAACAAGGGCAGCGAAGAGAAGGGUGAUGAUGGAAGCAAACUUAGCCAUGACUAUUAUUUUUGUUUUGAAUGUAUGUAUGUAUGUAU